RNAcentral lists this ribosomal RNA (253 nucleotides) under uncultured bacterium. RNAcentral describes it as "partial 16S ribosomal RNA". It matches the Rfam family "Bacterial small subunit ribosomal RNA", at positions 524 to 776 of the family's 1533-position model. The record is from RNAcentral.
UACGUAGGGGGCUAGCGUUGUUCGGAAUUACUGGGCGUAAAGCGCACGUAGGCGGAUUAGUAAGUCAGGGGUGAAAUCCCGGGGCUCAACCUCGGAACUGCCUUUGAUACUGCUGAUCUCGAGUCUGGAAGAGGUGAGUGGAAUUCCUAGUGUAGAGGUGAAAUUCGUAGAUAUUAGGAAGAACACCAGUGGCGAAGGCGGCUCACUGGUCCGGUACUGACGCGGAGGUGCGAAAGCGUGGGGAGCAAACAGG